AGAGUAACAAUAAUGUUUUUUGCACCUGGAUUCCUGCACUAUAAUUUUAUUACAAGGGAUUUAAAGAGAAGAUUUUUAUGUAAGUAAACCAAGAUAAUUUAAAAAAAAAAAAAAAAAAAAAAGAAAGAAAAAAAUGUUUUCAUCCUUGUUUCAUAAUAUUCUGACAGAAAUGCUGCUGCUGCUGAAGGGAAGUACUCACUUCCUUCCCUUCUCCCCUCCCCUGAUAACAUAAUAAUGAUAUACUGGGGAACUGGGGACAUACAUUGAAGGAGCAGUUUCUGGCCUUGAAAAGAUACCCUUUGUUUUCAUGCAGACGGAUUUGUAGAAACACACAUUCUUUCACAAAGAUCAAGAUGUCUCACUAUAAAAAAUCAUCUAAGGACUACAAGGAUAAACCUGAGGAAGGACCUGGCUCAAGGGAAGAAUAUUUUAAAGAAGA
RNAcentral lists this long non-coding RNA (439 nucleotides) under Coturnix japonica (Japanese quail). Its description in RNAcentral is "lncRNA (ENSCJPG00005000157.1)". Lineage: Eukaryota; Metazoa; Chordata; Aves; Galliformes; Phasianidae. The record is from RNAcentral.